This 21-nucleotide non-coding RNA is filed under the name Caenorhabditis elegans. Lineage: Eukaryota; Metazoa; Nematoda; Chromadorea; Rhabditida; Rhabditidae. The record is from RNAcentral.
UUAGGAAUUAACAGUUUGUAU